GUAAGGACGCGUAGGCGGGAUGUCAAGUCUGAUGUGAAAUCUAGGUCGCGUGAACUGCAUUGGAAACUGGUAACCUAGAGAAGGGAGGGGGAGAUGGAAUUAGUGGUGUAGGGGUAAAAUCCGUAGAUAUCACUAGGAAUACCGAAAGCGAAGGCGAUCUCCCGGAACAAUACUGACGCUAAGGCGUGAAAGCGUGGGGAGCAAACGGGAUUAGAUACCCCGGUAGUCCAUGCCCUAAACGAUGAACACUAGUCGUCGGAAUGCUAGUCAUUUCGGUGACGCACUUAACAGAUUAAGUGUUCCGCCUGGGGAGUACGGUCGCAAGAUUAAAACUCAAAGGAAUAGACGGGGACCCGCACAAGUGGUGGAGCAUGUGGUUUAAUUCGAAGAUACGCGAAGAACCUUACCUAGCCUUGACAUUGAUUGAACACUUUAGAGAUAGAGUGGUGCCCUUCGGGGAGCAUGAAAACAGGUGCUGCACGGCUGUCGUCAGCUCGUGUCGUGAGAUGUUGGGUUAAGUCCCGCAACGAGCGCAACCCUCGUCCUUAGUUGCCAGCAGGUUAAGCUGGGCACUCUAAGGAGACUGCCUUCGCAAGGAGGAGGGAGGUGAGGACGACGUCAAGUCAUCAUGGCCCUUAUGGCUAGGGCUACACACGUGCUACAAUGGGGCGUACAGAGUGUUGCGAUACCGCGAGGUGGAGCUAAUCACUUAAAGCGUCUCUCAGUUCGGAUUGGAGUCUGCAACUCGACUCCAUGAAGCUGGAAUCACUAGUAAUCGUAGAUCAGCAAUGCUACGGUGAAUACGUU
This 807-nucleotide ribosomal RNA is filed under the name uncultured bacterium. RNAcentral describes it as "bacterial SSU rRNA". It matches the Rfam family "Bacterial small subunit ribosomal RNA", at positions 561 to 1372 of the family's 1533-position model. The record is from RNAcentral.